Molecule: ribosomal RNA, 310 nt
Filed under: Streptomyces sp. RNM-0-5-17-Ga
Lineage: Bacteria; Bacillati; Actinomycetota; Actinomycetes; Kitasatosporales; Streptomycetaceae
Description: bacterial SSU rRNA
Rfam family: Bacterial small subunit ribosomal RNA
Source: RNAcentral
UCGCGUCUANCAUGCNAGUCGAACGAUGAACCACUUCGGUGGGGAUUAGUUGGCGAACGGGUGAGUAACACGUUGGGCAAUCUGCCCUGCACUCUGGGACAAGCCCUGGAAACGGGGUCUAAUACCGGAUACUGACCCGCCUGGGCAUCCAGGCGGUUCGAAAGCUCCGGCGGUGCAGGAUGAGCCCGCGGCCUAUCAGCUUGUUGGUGAGGUAACGGCUCACCAAGGCGACGACGGGUAGCCGGCCUGAGAGGGCGACCGGCCACACUGGGACUGAGACACGGCCCAGACUCCUACGGGAGGCAGCAGA